Molecule: ribosomal RNA, 463 nt
Filed under: uncultured bacterium
Lineage: Bacteria
Description: partial 16S ribosomal RNA
Rfam family: Bacterial small subunit ribosomal RNA
Source: RNAcentral
CGACCGCUGGCGGCGUGCUUAACACAUGCACGUCGAACGGAAAGGCCCCUUUGGGGGUACUCGAGUGGCGAACGGGUGAGUAACACGUGAGUAACCUGCCCUUGACUUCGGGAUAACUUCAGGAAACUGGGGCUAAUACCGGAUAGGAAUCCUUGCUGCACGGUGGGGGUUGGAAAGCUUCGGCGGUUUUGGAUGGACUCGCGGCUUAUCAGCUUGUUGGUGGGGUAGUGGCUUACCAAGGCUUUGACGGGUAGCCGGCCUGAGAGGGCGACCGGCCACAUUGGGACUGAGAUACGGCCCAGACUCCUACGGGAGGCAGCAGUGGGGAAUAUUGCACAAUGGGCGGCAGCCUGAUGCAGCAACGCCGCGUGCGGGAUGACGGCCUUCGGGUUGUAGACCGCUUUCAGCAGGGGCGAAGCUUGUGGUGACGGUACCUGCAGAAGAAGCACCGGCUAACUACGUG